This 1454-nucleotide ribosomal RNA is filed under the name Pseudomonas sp. SJZ094. Its description in RNAcentral is "partial 23S ribosomal RNA". It matches the Rfam family "Bacterial large subunit ribosomal RNA", at positions 1580 to 2925 of the family's 2925-position model. The record is from RNAcentral. Lineage: Bacteria; Pseudomonadati; Pseudomonadota; Gammaproteobacteria; Pseudomonadales; Pseudomonadaceae.
GUUUAACGAAGUGGUUGAUGCCAUGCUUCCAAGAAAAGCUUCUAAGCUUCAGGUAACCAGGAACCGUACCCCAAACCGACACAGGUGGUUGGGUAGAGAAUACCAAGGCGCUUGAGAGAACUCGGGUGAAGGAACUAGGCAAAAUGGCACCGUAACUUCGGGAGAAGGUGCGCCGGUGAGGGUGAAGGACUUGCUCCGUAAGCUCAUGCCGGUCGAAGAUACCAGGCCGCUGCGACUGUUUAUUAAAAACACAGCACUCUGCAAACACGAAAGUGGACGUAUAGGGUGUGACGCCUGCCCGGUGCCGGAAGGUUAAUUGAUGGGGUUAGCUAACGCGAAGCUCUUGAUCGAAGCCCCGGUAAACGGCGGCCGUAACUAUAACGGUCCUAAGGUAGCGAAAUUCCUUGUCGGGUAAGUUCCGACCUGCACGAAUGGCGUAACGAUGGCGGCGCUGUCUCCACCCGAGACUCAGUGAAAUUGAAAUCGCUGUGAAGAUGCAGUGUAUCCGCGGCUAGACGGAAAGACCCCGUGAACCUUUACUAUAGCUUUGCACUGGACUUUGAAUUUGCUUGUGUAGGAUAGGUGGGAGGCUUUGAAGCGUGGACGCCAGUCUGCGUGGAGCCAACCUUGAAAUACCACCCUGGCAACUUUGAGGUUCUAACUCAGGUCCGUUAUCCGGAUCGAGGACAGUGUAUGGUGGGUAGUUUGACUGGGGCGGUCUCCUCCUAAAGAGUAACGGAGGAGUACGAAGGUGCGCUCAGACCGGUCGGAAAUCGGUCGUAGAGUAUAAAGGCAAAAGCGCGCUUGACUGCGAGACAGACACGUCGAGCAGGUACGAAAGUAGGUCUUAGUGAUCCGGUGGUUCUGUAUGGAAGGGCCAUCGCUCAACGGAUAAAAGGUACUCCGGGGAUAACAGGCUGAUACCGCCCAAGAGUUCAUAUCGACGGCGGUGUUUGGCACCUCGAUGUCGGCUCAUCACAUCCUGGGGCUGAAGCCGGUCCCAAGGGUAUGGCUGUUCGCCAUUUAAAGUGGUACGCGAGCUGGGUUUAGAACGUCGUGAGACAGUUCGGUCCCUAUCUGCCGUGGACGUUUGAGAUUUGAGAGGGGCUGCUCCUAGUACGAGAGGACCGGAGUGGACGAACCUCUGGUGUUCCGGUUGUCACGCCAGUGGCAUUGCCGGGUAGCUAUGUUCGGAAUAGAUAACCGCUGAAAGCAUCUAAGCGGGAAACUAGCCUCAAGAUGAGAUCUCACUGGGACCUUGAGUCCCCUGAAGGGCCGUCGAAGACUACGACGUUGAUAGGUUGGGUGUGUAAGCGCUGUGAGGCGUUGAGCUAACCAAUACUAAUUGCCCGUGAGGCUUGACCAUAUAACACCCAAGCAAUUUGACUACUCGAAAGAGCAUCAGAUUGCGGUGUGUGAAGACGCAAUGAACCGAAAGUUCGAUGCUCACAAAA